CUCUUGUAGCUCAGUUGGCAGAGCGGUGGUCUUAUGAACCACAAGCCGUAGGUUCGAAUCCUACCAAGAGUAA
RNAcentral lists this transfer RNA (73 nucleotides) under Amorphochlora amoebiformis. RNAcentral's name for it is "tRNA-Ile". It matches the Rfam family "tRNA". From Rfam's summary of the family: Transfer RNA (tRNA) molecules are approximately 80 nucleotides in length. Their secondary structure includes four short double-helical elements and three loops (D, anti-codon, and T loops). The record is from RNAcentral. Lineage: Eukaryota; Cercozoa; Chlorarachniophyceae.